UGGUGGAGUGGUUUGUCUGGUUAAUUCCGUUAACGGACGAGACCUCACCUUAUUAAUUAAUUAUACUAACAUUAGUUGUGUAAAAUAUCUUAGAGGGACCUUUGGUUAUGAACCAAUGGAAGUUUGAGGUAAUAACA
This 137-nucleotide ribosomal RNA is filed under the name uncultured eukaryote. RNAcentral's name for it is "partial 18S ribosomal RNA". It matches the Rfam family "Eukaryotic small subunit ribosomal RNA", at positions 1299 to 1458 of the family's 1831-position model. The record is from RNAcentral.